This is a transfer RNA of Pyrenochaeta sp. DS3sAY3a, 84 nucleotides long. It matches the Rfam family "tRNA". From Rfam's summary of the family: Transfer RNA (tRNA) molecules are approximately 80 nucleotides in length. Their secondary structure includes four short double-helical elements and three loops (D, anti-codon, and T loops). The record is from Rfam. NCBI's taxonomy places the organism in Eukaryota, Fungi, Ascomycota, Dothideomycetes, Pleosporales, Cucurbitariaceae.
GGCUUGGUAGUCCAGUGGUAGGAUUCCUGUUUUGGGUUCAAUCUGAAAAACAGGAGGUCCCGAGUUCAAACCUCGGUCAAGCCC